UGGGGAAUAUUGGACAAUGGGCGAAAGCCUGAUCCAGCGACGCCGCGUGAGUGAAGAAGGCCUUCGGGUUGUAAAGCUCUUUUAGUAGGGAAGAUAAUGACGGUACCUACAGAAAAAGCUCCGGCUAACUUCGUGCCAGCAGCCGCGGUAAUACGAAGGGAGCUAGCGUUACUCGGAAUUAUUGGGCGUAAAGCGUGCGUAGGCGGUCUUACAAGUCGGGAGUGAAAGCCUUGGGCUCAACCUAAGAAUUGCUUUCGAAACUGUGAGACUAGAGUACUAGAGGGGAUGGCGGAAUUCCUAGUGUAGAGGUGAAAUUCGUAGAUAUUAGGAGGAACACCGGUGGCGAAGGCGGCCAUCUGGCUAGAUACUGACGCUGUUGCACGAAAGCGUGGGGAGCAAA
RNAcentral lists this ribosomal RNA (400 nucleotides) under uncultured bacterium. RNAcentral describes it as "bacterial SSU rRNA". It matches the Rfam family "Bacterial small subunit ribosomal RNA", at positions 355 to 772 of the family's 1533-position model. The record is from RNAcentral.